CUUCGGUAGAAGCUCUUAGUGGCGAACGGGUGAGUAACGCGUUGGUGACCUGCCCCGAAGAGGGGGAUAACAGCUCGAAAGGGCUGCUAAUACCCCAUGUGAUCCAAGAGGUUAGAAACAUUGGAUUAAAGGAGAAAUCCACUUCGGGAGGGGCCUGCGUCCCAUCAGCUAGUUGGUAGGGUAACGGCCUACCAAGGCGAAGAUGGGUAGGGGGCCUGAGAGGGUGACCCCCCACAAUGGAACUGAAACACGGUCCAU
RNAcentral lists this ribosomal RNA (258 nucleotides) under uncultured bacterium. RNAcentral describes it as "partial 16S ribosomal RNA". It matches the Rfam family "Bacterial small subunit ribosomal RNA", at positions 75 to 334 of the family's 1533-position model. The record is from RNAcentral.